AAAAACUCUUCUUCACUUCUAGUUGUCCUCUUCUCCAAAAUUCCCAAAUUCUCUCAAGAAAGCAAAAAUCAUGUCUAACCCACAAGACUAUCCUGGAACUCUUCCACCACCAUCUCCUUCAAAUUCAUCCUCAUCUACUUCUCCCAGUGUAUAUCCAAAACCUAGGCUAUGAAGGCAAAAAAUUCUUGCUCGAAAGACUGUAGAAUCUGGGGCUUUGAGGAGGGCUUUAAAUGAAAAAAUAUAAAGCAAGCCAAAUGAAAGAAAGCCAAGCCC
Molecule: long non-coding RNA, 273 nt
Filed under: Nicotiana benthamiana
Lineage: Eukaryota; Viridiplantae; Streptophyta; Magnoliopsida; Solanales; Solanaceae
Description: long non-coding RNA (NBEN_LNC011344)
Source: RNAcentral